GUAGCUCAGCUGGAUAGAGCGCUUGCCUCCGGAGCAAGAGGUCGUGAGUUCGAAUCUC
This 58-nucleotide transfer RNA is filed under the name Fidelibacterota bacterium. RNAcentral's name for it is "tRNA-Arg". It matches the Rfam family "tRNA", at positions 7 to 61 of the family's 71-position model. Rfam says of the family: Transfer RNA (tRNA) molecules are approximately 80 nucleotides in length. Their secondary structure includes four short double-helical elements and three loops (D, anti-codon, and T loops). Further hydrogen bonds mediate the characteristic L-shaped molecular structure. tRNAs have two regions of fundamental functional importance: the anti-codon, which is responsible for specific mRNA codon recognition, and the 3' end, to which the tRNAs corresponding amino acid is attached (by aminoacyl-tRNA synthetases). tRNAs cope with the degeneracy of the genetic code in two manners: having more than one tRNA (with a specific anti-codon) for a particular amino acid; and 'wobble' base-pairing, i.e. permitting non-standard base-pairing at the 3rd anti-codon position. Lineage: Bacteria; Pseudomonadati; Fidelibacterota. The record is from RNAcentral.